Molecule: unclassified non-coding RNA, 224 nt
Filed under: uncultured fungus
Lineage: Eukaryota; Fungi
Description: partial contains 18S rRNA, ITS1, 5.8S rRNA, ITS2 and 28S rRNA
Source: RNAcentral
AAGGAUCAUUACCUUAUACCAUCGGAGGGCCGGCUAUGGACUGCGGAUCCUUAGGGAACGCUUCCGUGCCCGCCCUGUCUGAUUCUACCCAUGAUUUUUGCGUACUCAUUGUUUCCUCGGUAGGCUUGCCUGCCGAUAGGACAUUAUACAACCCUUUGUAAUUGCAGUCAGCGUCAGAAAAAAUUUAAUAGUUACAACUUUCAACAACGGAUCUCUUGGUUCUG